RNAcentral lists this ribosomal RNA (404 nucleotides) under uncultured bacterium. RNAcentral describes it as "bacterial SSU rRNA". It matches the Rfam family "Bacterial small subunit ribosomal RNA", at positions 64 to 508 of the family's 1533-position model. The record is from RNAcentral.
GCACGGUAUGGUUUCGGCCAUGCAGUGGCGGACGGGUGAGUAACGCGUAGGGAUCUGUCCUUGGGUGGGGGAUAACCGUGGGAAACUGCGGCUAAUACCGCAUGACACCUGUGGGUCAAAGGCGAGAGUCGCCUGGGGAGGAGCCUGCGUACGAUUAGCUAGUUGGUGGGGUAAGGGCCUACCAAGGCGACGAUCGUUAGCUGGUCUGAGAGGAUGAUCAGCCACACUGGGACUGAGACACGGCCCAGACUCCUACGGGAGGCAGCAGUGGGGAAUAUUGGACAAUGGGCGCAAGCCUGAUCCAGCAAUGCCGCGUGGAUGAAGAAGGUUUUCGGAUUGUAAAGUCCUUUCGGCGGGGACGAUGAUGACGGUACCCGCAGAAGAAGCCCCGGCUAACUUCGUGC